This 253-nucleotide ribosomal RNA is filed under the name uncultured bacterium. RNAcentral describes it as "partial 16S ribosomal RNA". It matches the Rfam family "Bacterial small subunit ribosomal RNA", at positions 524 to 776 of the family's 1533-position model. The record is from RNAcentral.
GACGAACCGUGCGAACGUUGUUCGGAUUCACUGGGCUUAAAGGGCGCGUAGGCGGGUCGCUAAGUCCGGGGUGAAAGCCCCCAGCUUAACUGGGGAAGUGCCUCGGAUACUGUCGGCCUCGAGGGGGAUAGGGGCCCGCGGAACUUCGGGUGGAGCGGUGAAAUGCGUUGAUAUCCGAAGGAACGCCGGUGGCGAAAGCGGCGGGCUGGAUCCCUUCUGACGCUGAGGCGCGAAAGCCAGGGGAGCAAACGGG